AAUCAACGGUGGCGGCGUGCCUCAGACAUGCAAGUCGAACGCGAAAUUUCCCUUCGGGGAGAAAGUAGAGUGGCGCACGGGUGAGUGACACGUGGGUAAUUUACCUUCGGGUGGGGAAUAACGUCUCGAAAGAGACGCUAAUACCGCAUGAUGCAGCGGCACCACAUGGUGACAGUUGUUAAAGCGGGGGAUCGCAAGACCUCGCGCCUGAAGAGAAGCCCGCGGCAGAUAGCUAGUUGGUAAGGUAAUGGCUUACCAAGGCAACGAUCUGUAGCCGGCCUGAGAGGGCGGUCGGCCACACUGACACUGAAUAACGGGUCAGACUCCUACGGGAGGCAGCAGUCGGGAAUUUUGGGCAAUGGGCGGAAGCCUGACCCAGCAACGCCGCGUGAAGGAUGAAGUA
Molecule: ribosomal RNA, 403 nt
Filed under: uncultured bacterium
Lineage: Bacteria
Description: bacterial SSU rRNA
Rfam family: Bacterial small subunit ribosomal RNA
Source: RNAcentral